GAGGGUGUAGCUCAAUGGCAGAGCCCUUGAUUAGCACAUGUGAAGCCCUAGGUCCAAUUCCUAGCACCCCCA
Molecule: transfer RNA, 72 nt
Filed under: Heterocephalus glaber (naked mole-rat)
Lineage: Eukaryota; Metazoa; Chordata; Mammalia; Rodentia; Bathyergidae
Rfam family: tRNA
About the family: Transfer RNA (tRNA) molecules are approximately 80 nucleotides in length. Their secondary structure includes four short double-helical elements and three loops (D, anti-codon, and T loops).
Source: Rfam by way of RNAcentral